UACAGGGGGCUCGAGCGUUAGUCGGAAUCACUGGGCUUAAAGGGUGCGUAGGCGGCUCAUCAAGUGUUUUGUGAAAGCCCACAGCUCAACUGUGGAACCGCAGGGCAAACUGAUGAGCUUGAGGCAGGUAGGGGCCGGAAGAACAGUAGGUGGAGCGGUGAAAUGCGUAGAUAUCUACUGGAAUGCCGAUGGGGAAGCCGUCCGGCUGGGCCUGUCCUGACGCUGAGGCACGAAAGCGUGGGGAGCAAACAGG
Molecule: ribosomal RNA, 253 nt
Filed under: uncultured bacterium
Lineage: Bacteria
Description: partial 16S ribosomal RNA
Rfam family: Bacterial small subunit ribosomal RNA
Source: RNAcentral